This 469-nucleotide ribosomal RNA is filed under the name alpha proteobacterium 10817. RNAcentral describes it as "bacterial SSU rRNA". It matches the Rfam family "Bacterial small subunit ribosomal RNA", at positions 1 to 522 of the family's 1533-position model. The record is from RNAcentral. Lineage: Bacteria; Pseudomonadati; Pseudomonadota; Alphaproteobacteria.
UGGAGAGUUUGAUCCUGGCUCAGAACGAACGCUGGCGGCAGGCUUAACACAUGCAAGUCGAGCGCCUCGCAAGAGGAGCGGCAGACGGGUGAGUAACACGUGGGAAUCUACCCAUCCCUGCGGAACAACUCCGGGAAACUGGAGCUAAUACCGCAUACGCCCUACGGGGGAAAGAUUUAUCGGSGAUGGAUGAGCCCGCGUUGGAUUAGCUAGUUGGUGGGGUAAMGGCCUACCAAGGCGACGAUCCAUAGCUGGUCUGAGAGGAUGAUCAGCCACAUUGGGACUGAGACACGGCCCAAACUCCUACGGGAGGCAGCAGUGGGGAAUAUUGGACAAUGGGCGCAAGCCUGAUCCAGCCAUGCCGCGUGAGUGAUGAAGGCCUUAGGGUUGUAAAGCUCUUUCACCGAUGAAGAUAAUGACGGUAGUCGGAGAAGAAGCCCCGGCUAACUUCGUGCCAGCAGCCGCGGUA